RNAcentral lists this ribosomal RNA (901 nucleotides) under Cladosporium colombiae. RNAcentral's name for it is "LSU rRNA". It matches the Rfam family "Eukaryotic large subunit ribosomal RNA", at positions 38 to 965 of the family's 3401-position model. The record is from RNAcentral. Lineage: Eukaryota; Fungi; Ascomycota; Dothideomycetes; Cladosporiales; Cladosporiaceae.
GCAUAUCAAUAAGCGGAGGAAAAGAAACCAACAGGGAUUGCUCUAGUAACGGCGAGUGAAGCAGCAAUAGCUCAAAUUUGAAAUCUGGCGUCUUCGACGUCCGAGUUGUAAUUUGUAGAGGAUGCUUCUGAGUAACCACCGACCUAAGUUCCUUGGAACAGGACGUCAUAGAGGGUGAGAAUCCCGUAUGCGGUCGGAAAGGUGCUCUAUACGUAGCUCCUUCGACGAGUCGAGUUGUUUGGGAAUGCAGCUCUAAAUGGGAGGUAAAUUUCUUCUAAAGCUAAAUAUUGGCCAGAGACCGAUAGCGCACAAGUAGAGUGAUCGAAAGAUGAAAAGCACUUUGGAAAGAGAGUUAAAAAGCACGUGAAAUUGUUAAAAGGGAAGGGAUUGCAACCAGACUUGCUCGCGGUGUUCCGCCGGUCUUCUGACCGGUCUACUCGCCGCGUUGCAGGCCAGCAUCGUCUGGUGCCGCUGGAUAAGACUUGAGGAAUGUAGCUCCUUCGGGAGUGUUAUAGCCUCUUGUGAUGCAGCGAGCGCCGGGCGAGGUCCGCGCUUCGGCUAGGAUGCUGGCGUAAUGGUCGUAAUCCGCCCGUCUUGAAACACGGACCAAGGAGUCUAACAUCUAUGCGAGUGUUCGGGUGUCAAACCCCUACGCGUAAUGAAAGUGAACGGAGGUGAGAACCGCAAGGUGCAUCAUCGACCGAUCCUGAUGUCUUCGGAUGGAUUUGAGUAAGAGCAUAGCUGUUGGGACCCGAAAGAUGGUGAACUAUGCCUGAAUAGGGUGAAGCCAGAGGAAACUCUGGUGGAGGCUCGCAGCGGUUCUGACGUGCAAAUCGAUCGUCAAAUUUGGGUAUAGGGGCGAAAGACUAAUCGAACCAUCUAGUAGCUGGUUCCUGCCGAA